RNAcentral lists this ribosomal RNA (401 nucleotides) under uncultured bacterium. RNAcentral's name for it is "bacterial SSU rRNA". It matches the Rfam family "Bacterial small subunit ribosomal RNA", at positions 359 to 776 of the family's 1533-position model. The record is from RNAcentral.
GAAUCUUCCGCAAUGCGCGAAAGCGUGACGGAGCAAUGCCGCGUGCGGGAUGAAGCCCUUCGGGGUGUAAACCGCUGUCAGGGUUCACUAACACAAUGAAGAGACCCAAAGGAAGGACCGGCUAACUCUGUGCCAGCAGCCGCGGUAAUACAGAGGGUCCAAGCGUUGCGCGGAAUCACUGGGCUUAAAGCGUACGUAGGCGGGCGUGCAGGCACUUUGUGAAAUCCCCCGGCUCAACCGGGGAAUUGCUUGGUGAACCGCACGUCUUGAGGUCGGUAGGGGUCGUCGGAACGCUGGGUGGAGCGGUGAAAUGCGUAGAUAUCCAGCGGAACGCCGAAGGUGAAGACAGGCGACUGGGCCGAUUCUGACGCUGAGGUACGAAAGCGUGGGGAGCGAACGGG